CCUGGGGUUUGGGUUGCAAUUCCCCCAUUUGGGGGUUGCAAUUCCCUGGUUUGGGGGUUGCAAUCCCCUGGGGUUUGGGUUGCAAUUCCCAGGUUUUGGGUUGCAAUUCCCAGGUUUGGGGGUUGCGAUCCCUUGGGGUUUGGGUUGCAAUUCCCAGGUUUUGGGUUGCAAUUCCCAGGUUUGGGGGUUGCAAUUCCCCAGUUUCUGGGUUGCAAUUCCCAGGUUUUGGGUUGCAAUUCCCUGGGUUUGGGGGUUGCAAUUCCCCAGUUUCCGGGUUGCAAUUCCCCCAUUCGGGGGUUGCGAUUCCCUGUUUUUUUGGGUUGCAACCCCCCGGUUUUGGGUGCAAUCCCCCCGUCACCCCCGUCACCCCCGUGUCCGUCCGUCCCCCCAGUGCGGCUUCUUCAAGCGGGACUACAGGGAGCGGCUGGACCAGGACGCGGCCGGCGCCGGGACGGGGGACGACGGGGACAACGGGGACGACGAUAACGGGGACGAUGAUAACGGGGGCGAUAACGGGGACAAUGAUGGGGACACUGGGGACGCCCCCGCGGGGGACACGGACGGGGACCUCGGCCGUGGGGGGCAGGAGCCGCUGCAGGGGGGCGAAGGAGCCCCGUGAGCCGGCGACCGCCCGGCCUUCAUCCUCCAUCUCCAUCCUCCUCCAUCCCCAUCCUCCAUCUCUCCAUCUCCAUCUCUCCAUCCUUCUUCCAUUCCUCCAUCUCCAUCUCUCCAUCCUCCAUCUCUCCAUCCUCCAUCUCUCCGUCCUCCAUCUCCAUCUCUCCAUCUCUCCAUCCUCCAUCUCCAUCCUCCAUCCUCUCCAUCCUCCAUCUCUCCAUCCUCCAUCUCCAUCCCUCCAUCCUCCUCCCUCUCCCCCACGGUCUCACAUUAAAGCGGCUCCCGGCCACGCAAGGGGCCCAGGCGUCCGGGCGGGAGAAGCCACCAGCCGCCUCCUGCCUCUGCUUUUAUUGGGCGGCGCCGCGGGGGCCCCGGGCUGCAGCCGGUCGCGGCGGCGCCGGCGGUUCGGGGCGGAAAAGGGCCCUUUUGGGGGCCGCUGCGGAGGCCCCGAGGUGGCUCCAGGGGGCCGGACGGGCGCUCGGGGCUCCCGCCGUGGGGCCGGGUGCUG
RNAcentral lists this long non-coding RNA (1123 nucleotides) under Apteryx haastii (Great spotted kiwi). Its description in RNAcentral is "lncRNA (ENSAHAG00000009067.1)". Lineage: Eukaryota; Metazoa; Chordata; Aves; Apterygiformes; Apterygidae. The record is from RNAcentral.